AACCUCUCUGAGUCCAUCUGAGUCCAUGGGGACCCUAUGGUGGAGGAGGGGAAGGACUCCUUUCCUUGAGCAGCAGCAAAAACUACAUGGGUUGAAGUGACUAUAACUCCCGUUCCCUGUCUUCUUGUGCCACUAGGUGAGUAAGUAGAGCUGGGAAGGAGGGAAGGGUAUGCAGAAGGUGUUUUUAAGGUCUUAUUUUACUUCUCAUGAUCCUGCUCUGAUUUUGUUAGUAAUAAAUUCAAUUAAUAUCCCAAAUUUAGCCCAAUUUGCCCAUGACAGUAUUUGGUGAGUGAUCUCUCCCUGACCUUAUCUCAACCCAAGAACCCUACAUUCUGCUUUCUCUCCCAUCUAUUAUACCUUUAAGCUGAAAAAAUCUUCUAGAUUUCUCAUCAAAUGUCAUCAAGACAUUUUCUAUUGCCUUAUAGGACAUCUUCUCUACACAGAGACAACUGAGAUAGACUCUUCCACAAGGUCUCCUUAGAGAUGAUAGACCGGAACUAGUUCAACAGGAUGAGGAGGGAGUAAGAAAAUGUGCUGUUCAGUCCAUCUCAUCCCCUUAAGAUACAGAGUAGACGGCCUUUCCUUGCUACUGGGUGCAAUAUACAGAUCCAGAUUUCUGGCCCCUCAAAAGGAGACUGCAAAUGGGAUACAGAUUCAGCUUUUGGGGAAAACAUGCAAAGUGCGAGAUACUAAAAUAAAUUGUUGAACCCUCCUCUAAUUCAGAAGUAUUGCAAUGGAGAAGAAUCUUCAUGAGAAAAUGUUUUUAAGGUAAUGAGAGAAAUUAAAGAAGAAACACAGUUCCCUGUUUCCCCUGCGUCUUUCUUUUUGAUUACUUGAGCUGUGAAAUAAUUUUACAGUUUGGAGUCAAUUCCUAUAGAUUAAAGCAAAUUCUGCUUCUGCCUUGCCUAUUCUCCAAGGUUCAAAGGAUAAUAGGACACCAUUUUCCACUAUCCCAUUUGUAGCCCACAUCUACAGAUGAUCUCCUGUUGGGGAUGUGUGAGGAUCGGUACUAGAUGGAAGCUACUUGCAUUUUUUUUCAAUCUUCUGUCAGUAAAUAUUAAAUCUGUGACAAUUUCAAAUUUAAACAUUUAAGAGAUAAAAGUUCAACUAAACUAAAUCAGAGGCUUCUGUCUAGAAAACUGAAUACAUACAGCAGUUAUAGAAUCAGGCUCUGUUCCCAGAAAAAUAGUGACACAGGAAAAGAUAUGGGUUUAGACCUGAAAAGCAAUGUGACAGGAGACUACCAGAACAAUCCUAUAGGGAAAAUAAAGUCAAAGAGCAAAAAUGCUCCAUCCCCAGAAAUUACAGAAAGUAACAAGUAGGAUUAAAGAGGGAUUUACUCUGUACACAAGGUAGUGAGAGCCAGUACUAGAAUAUUGAGUCUAGCCAAAGUGUCUACAUUUCAAGGAAAGCAUUGAAAACAUAGUUCAAGUGCUAGAGAAAAAUGUUAUACCAUGGGACUUAACAGGUUUUCCUAAAGGACUGACUAGAUUGCAGCAUGUAAGUGAGAAGAAAAUGCCUGGUAGUAAAUAGUUCUUUAAUCUAGUGGAGAAAAACAUAAUGAGUGAGAAAGUAUAAACUAAAGCUAGGAGAAAAAAAAAUCUAAUCAAAUAACAUAUAAAAAGAAGAUCUGAGCAGUAAGAAAACCAAGAACAGUAGUAGAUUUUCUCUUCCUUGAUGCCUCAAAAGCAAGACUAUGUGCCUUCCUGGAUAAUUCUUUAGCAAAAUGCAAUUUAGUUAAAAGAUAAUCUUUUGGGAUCCAUCCCAGCCCAGCUCAAUAUGAAACCAGAAGAAACAAGAUAUAUUUUCUUAACUGGAAACUAAACACCCAGUUUUAGUGGGUGAACACCACAACAACCAGGUCUGAGUCAAAGGUCCUGUUUUGGUAACAACACAAAACAGUUAUCGCAUGUUUUAUCUCAAAAUUCCUGGAUGUUUUCUUACCUAAUAAUGAAAAAUAAUAAAUCUCUAAUGGGUUAAAUAAUCGAGACAUAUUCAAAGCUUUCUGGUUGUAGCAAACAUGAUGAAACACAACUGGUUUGAAUUUGUUGAUUUCAGAUUCUACCAAGCGGCAUCCACUGCAAUUAAGCAAGCUCAUUUGAAUGACUUGUCCAGCAUUGUUUCUAACUUGUGGUUGGGUAAAUCACUGAUAUCCAGUGUGUGAUAAUUCUUAACAACAUGCCCUCUGUUGAGUAAUGGGCAUAGAUCUGGUUACUCCAAAAACUUUCAUUGCACAUCCCGUUCUCUAUACUUCAGAUUCUCAUGCACCAGUGGAUCAUCAAACCAUUUUCUUAAGAGAUUUGCAAUACUUUCCUUUUUUGGCAACUGAUUCACCUCUAACAUUUAAUGUCUCUAACAAGUGGUCAUAAUUUCUUUCUAGCUUCAGCUUGUAUCAUGAAGAAAACAUAGAGAUGUGUAAUUUUAAAGCUAAAGGAAAUAAACAAACUGAAUAAGGAAGAUGCUCUAAAAUGUUCUCAUUUAUCACAUUCUAAAGUGUCCUGGUUUGAAGAGCAAAACCAGUGAGAGGCUCUAAGUCAGAAAUACAAUUUAUUAGGAAAAGAGAAUAAAGAACCAAAUAUAUACAAUAGCACAAAAUAAGAACCAUUGACAGAGUUAGAGAUACAACCUGAUACUUGCUGGCUAGGGCGGUGGUAGCAGAUAUGGUUCUGUCCAAGCAGUGGUCCUGUAGAUUGAUGUAGUUUCCCUCUGGAGGUCCGGUGUAGAGAAGGUCACAGCUGUUCCUCUUGGAAGAGGCGAUCUACUUGCUGUCUGCACAACACCGCUUAUAUCCUUGGUGGCAUUGUUUGGCUCCUCCCUCUGGGCGGAGCAUCUCACCAUAGAAUGCUGUGAUCUUAUCAGUCAUGUGGCUAAAAGAACAGGUCCUCCUGGAGGGACUUAUCUCUGAGUCACAAGAUAAGGAAACAAAAAAAGAAUUGCAGCUCGAGGUGGUAAUGGAAUACACCCCAAUAUUAUAACCUAGGACAUAAUGAAAAGUCAGUUAUCUGCCAGGGGAUGUGGUGUUUUAGCCUGAGGACUAUUCAGCUAUUCCUAUUGCAAUUUACAUGUUCCUUGAUCUGAUUACCGAGACAAAACUCAUGCAUUUGACUUUGAACAAGACUAUUGCUGUACUUUUCAUGGAAAACACUGGAGUUUUGUAACUGGAUUUUCAGCUUGCCUCUACUUGUACGAAACUCUCUUUUUAUAGCAGCACGUUGCCUGUUUUCUCUAAUCUCAGACAGAACUGGAAGUUCAACCACUCAGCCCACCUUCAAGAUGUGCCUAUGCUGUUCUAGUGCUCCUGACAAACCAGGCCAGCUGGCUAAUUAAUUAAGGAUGAGACACUUGGUGAUGUGCACCUGGAAAUCAUUAGACGCCUGGAGGUUACACGUUCAUGAGUCCUCCCUUGGAAUUUGGACAUUAUCUGUUGUGUUUGUUUCCUUGGCUAUCUGCUGGUAAAGUUCAAAGACAGUGAUCUGAGAAGGUGAAAAAUAAUUAUUUGCUUCUGGCCAGGUGCAAUUAGUUGUAUUUAUUUGUAAUAGAAAUGCAGAUUAAAAGUUGACUGGAAAUGAAAGUGAAUAGAGAGCCUGGGUCAUUGUGUGUGGUUAAAUUUAUUCUGUAAAAUAACUUCUGUGGAAAUUAAAGAAAUGUUAAUAAAA
This is a non-coding RNA of Taeniopygia guttata (zebra finch), 3656 nucleotides long. The record is from RefSeq and is a predicted model, not a curated record. Lineage: Eukaryota; Metazoa; Chordata; Aves; Passeriformes; Estrildidae.